Chrysemys picta bellii (western painted turtle) is the source of this 678-nucleotide long non-coding RNA. RefSeq lists it as uncharacterized. The record is from RefSeq and is a predicted model, not a curated record. Lineage: Eukaryota; Metazoa; Chordata; Testudines; Emydidae.
AUGUUCCUGUUAACCCCGGAUCAGUGUCACAUUCUGCAUUUAAAGUUAGUGAUGGCCCACUUGACAGAAAGAUUAAUAACCAUGAAAUGGCUUGUGUUGGCUGGCUUCUAGCCAUGUGUUAUUUAUAGUCACCUCACACUGUUUUUCUCAGAAGUAAUCCUGGUCCCUCGUGACAAACCACUUGGUCUUCAGGCUACUAGUUCAUCCCCUUGGGAACCAGAUUACUGCUGAGAAAAAAACGAUCAGGCUACUAAUUAUUUGCUGUUACAACUGCAAGGUGUUUGAAAAAUAGAGAAACUGAGGCAUGGAGAUGUUAAGUGACUUUGCCUAACAUCAAAGACUGAGUUAGUGGCAGAAUCAGGAAUGCGAUCCAGAUCUCCUGACUUCCAGUAUAUGGCCUCUUCACUAGACCACUCUGUCUCUGUGGGGAAAACAACUCAUUCUCCAGAACAGGACAACAUUCACAGCCACACCUGCCUAAGAGUACUGCUCCUCCCACCUACAGCCUUCCCUGCUUGAAUCCUGAAGAAUGACCCAAGUGGAGAAUCAGUUAGACACGCUGCAGUCAGGUGCAGCCGGCAUGCUCUGCCUCUGCUGGUUUCCAUGAACCUGGAGUGCUGCCCACACGGCUGGGAAGAACACCGCUUCAGAGGGCGUUUACACGUACCAACUAAUUAA